This 811-nucleotide long non-coding RNA is filed under the name Crocodylus porosus (Australian saltwater crocodile). Its description in RNAcentral is "lncRNA (ENSCPRG00005003647.1)". Lineage: Eukaryota; Metazoa; Chordata; Crocodylia; Crocodylidae. The record is from RNAcentral.
GCGGGGCCAGGCCCCGGGACCCGGCUCGUCGCGGGCUGGAGGAGCGGAGGGGGCGCUUGGAGGAGGGCAACCGUGGCAGGAGAGGGGGACGGCUGCGGGCCUGGGGGUUGCUCCGGGCGAGUUGCUCGAGACGCCGCUUCACGUUUAAACGGACCGGAAGAUAUUUAUAGUUUGGCAGAGUUCACUACAUAUUUAAGAUCUGAGCCUGCAAUCUGAUCUGCACAGUCUUUCUAUCUUGCUUCAUUCCUACAUGGAGCUCCAUGAAGGUCAAUGAUCUAGAGGCACUGGAGUCACAAAGGCACUAAAGCCUGCCCACAUGAAGCUUUUUGCAUAAGGUUAAGGCUUUUCCUUCCUGGUUAUUUUUUUAUGUUAGGGACACCAAUAUUAUAAAGCCUCAUUGAUCCCAUUUUUACUGGAGAAACAAGUGGAAUAGGAGCCCCUUUAGCUGUCAGUUGAACAAGUAAGGCUGUUGACUUUUUCACAGUUUUUCUACCAAACUUUUCUUAGGAAUUUGAGUUAAACACAUUAGGGAUUUUUGAUCAGACUGUUUCUUCUCCCUCCAGAUUUUUUAGAUUUAAGAUUUCAGCCUUUGGUAACAUAUCUGCUAGUUUUCCUGUUUCCAUGUGUUGAUGAGUAAGAUUACAAAGAGUAAAAUGGCCCUUUUAUAAGUGGAAAAAUUCUAAACAAAGAGUAGAACAUUUUUCAUUCCUUCUUCAUAAAUCACAAAGAAAUAUGUAUAAGGGAGGAAUGAUAUCUACAGAUAUCUAAAAACAGAGGAAGAAUAAGAAUAAAUGAAAAAUACAUUUAUGCA